This 473-nucleotide ribosomal RNA is filed under the name uncultured bacterium. Its description in RNAcentral is "bacterial SSU rRNA". It matches the Rfam family "Bacterial small subunit ribosomal RNA", at positions 40 to 507 of the family's 1533-position model. The record is from RNAcentral.
CGGCAGGCUUGACACAUGCAAGUCGAGCGGUAGCAGAUCUAGCUUGCUAGAUGCUGACGAGCGGCGGACGGGUGAGUAACGCGUAGGAACCUGCCCAGUAGUGGGGGAUAGCCCGGGGAAACUCGGAUUAAUACCGCAUACGCUCUACGGAGGAAAAGAGGGGGCUUCGGCUCUCGCUAUUGGAUGGGCCUGCGUGAGAUUAGCUAGUUGGUGAGGUAAUGGCUCACCAAGGCGACGAUCUCUAGCUGGUCUGAGAGGAUGAUCAGCCACACUGGGACUGAGACACGGCCCAGACUCCUACGGGAGGCAGCAGUGGGGAAUAUUGCACAAUGGGCGCAAGCCUGAUGCAGCCAUGCCGCGUGUGUGAAGAAGGCUUUCGGGUUGUAAAGCACUUUCAGUGGGGAGGAAGGCCUCGUAGUUAAUAGCUGCGAGGAUUGACGUUACCCACAGAAGAAGCACCGGCUAACUCCGUG